This 1137-nucleotide ribosomal RNA is filed under the name marine metagenome. RNAcentral describes it as "SSU rRNA". It matches the Rfam family "Eukaryotic small subunit ribosomal RNA", at positions 3 to 1141 of the family's 1831-position model. The record is from RNAcentral.
CCUGGUUGAUCCUGCCAGUAGUCAUACGCUCAUCUCAAAGAUUAAGCCAUGCAUGUCUAAGUAUAAGCAUUUAUACAGCGAAACUGCGAAUGGCUCAUUAUAUCAGUUAUAGUUUAUUUGAUAGUCCCUACUACUUGGAUAACCGUAGUAAUUCUAGAGCUAAUACAUGCACCAAGUCCUGACUGCUUGCGGAAAGGAUGUAUUUAUUAGAUAUAAACCAAUGGCGGGCUUGCCCGUGUGUCGGUGAAUCACAAUAACUUAGCGGAUCGCAGUGACCUUGAGUCGGCGAUGAAUCAUUCAAGUUUCUGCCCUAUCAGCUUUCGAUGGUAGGGUAUUGGCCUACCAUGGCGUUAACGGGUAACGGAGAAUUAGGGUUCGAUUCCGGAGAGGGAGCCUGAGAAACGGCUACCACUUCUACGGAAGGCAGCAGGCGCGUAAAUUACCCAAUCCUGACAUAGGGAGGUAGUGACAAAAAAUAACAAUACGUGACCUAACAGUCGUGUAAUUGGAAUGAGGCAAAUUUAACAUCCUUGCCGAGUAUCAAUUGGAGGGCAAGUCUGGUGCCAGCAGCCGCGGUAAUUCCAGCUCCAAUAGCGUAUAUUAAAGUUGUUGCAGUUAAAAAGCUCGUAGUUGGAUUUCUGAUGAGGAUUGCCGGUCCGGGGCUUUUGGCCCUGUGUACUGGUGUGUUCUUGUCUUCCUUGUGGGGAACUUGUCUGGCAUUGGUUUGUCGGGCUUGGGAGCCACAUCAUUUACUGUGAAAAAAUUAGAGUGUUUAAAGCAGGCAUAUGCCUUGAAUACAUUAGCAUGGAAUAAUAAGAUAGGACUUUGGCCUAUUUUGUUGGUUUGCAAGCCAGAGUAAUGAUUAAUAGGGAUAGUUGGGGGUAUUCGUAUUUAAUUGUCAGAGGUGAAAUUCUUGGAUUUAUGAAAGACGAACAACUGCGAAAGCAUCUACCAAGGAUGUUUUCAUUAAUCAAGAACGAAAGUCAGGGGAUCGAAGAGGAUUAGAUACCCUCGUAGUCUUGACCAUAAACUAUGCCGACUCGGGAUUAGCAGAUGUUGAAUUUGAUUGACUCUGUUAGCACCGUAUGAAAAAUCAAAGUCUUUGGGUUCCGGGGGGAGUAUGGUCGCAAGGCUGAA